AAAGGCAGAGCACCUAGGAGCAGCCCCUCCCUUCAUGAUUCUGUAAUGACUCCACCAAUCAGAUGGCUCAUUACCUCUCACCCAAUCAGAAGGCAGAAGUAAUCAGUCCUGCAGCUGCAAUUAUCAGUGCCUCAGUAGCUGAGAGAGAUGGAGAGAGUUCAGCUUCAUAGUUUAAGUUUAAAGUUGAUUGUUCAGGUUGUUAAAUUAUAAGCUGCUCAGUUCAUUUGGUGUGCGUACGUUUAAAGUAAGUACUAUGGACCUUUUCUUGUGUUAGUUUAUACACUACAUAUUUGUAAAUGUUAACUAGAAAUGUUGCUAAGUAAAUGCUUAAUGUCGAUCAGAUGUGUAGCUAAAUGCCCUUGAUUUUGUUUGCCUAUUUGAGAAGGACCGUUGUUAAUUUGUAUAUGUUUGAUGGUGUAUGUUGACUCCUUAAUCAAUAUUUCACUAAACUAGUUCUGUAUUGGUUUUAUUUACAGAACCACACAUGCAUAUAAGUCAAUAAACUACUGAGCAGAUUUCCAGUUUCCGUUGCUGAUUCACAUCCUCGGGGACAUCCUAACCAAGUUCUUAUCCGACUUCCUGUAGUGGUUCAAUUAACCUGAACCAGACUUAGAUGCUAGUAUACCAAUAUGUGUCCUUUUAUUUAAUGGUCCUCCGAGCCGGAUCAGUGAACUACUACAGUGAGGAUGUCAGAUCACAGUCAAGAACAACCUGUAGUUAGACCUCGGAGAACACUAAACCGUCCUGGUUACCUUACGGACUAUGACCUCACAGGACUUCAGUCUCUGCGUCAUUUAUCUCAACCUGAUAGAAACUGGGAAGAUGAAGCACAGCAUACAUCAGACCCCACUGGGUACAGUACCCCUGUUAGCCAGGCUCCCAGUCUAAAUGAGUGUCUCAUCACAGAUCAGUGGGAGAAUACAGUAGGAGAUAUGGCUCAAGAGCAUGUGGAAUCUCCCAAACAGAAGAACCCACUGUCUGAUUUGACUGCUAUCUGGCAGGAGAUGAAAAGGGAACAUGAUGUAUUGCGCCAGCAAACCAGUCACUUUCCUGAACUCUUAUCAGCAUUCCAGGAGAUGAGACGAGACAAUGCAAUUCUGCAUAGGGAAGUUAAGGAACUCAGGUUAGAGAUGAGAACCUCACCUCAUAGACUGACCCAUCCAGUUCCAUCACCUCGCCUACAUGCUACGGCAGGACGUACAAACCCAAGUGCAGAUCUAUUCUGCCCCAUACCUGCACCUCGUCAUAGCCUGGCACAACACAAAGUACACUCUGCCCCAAUUGAUUCUACAGAGAGGAUCACACAACAGAUGGGCCAAAUUGAUUUUUCUCCAAGACAUCGGUCAUUGCAGUAUGACCACCCAUCCAACCAGUUUCAGCCUAGCCCUUCGAACAAUAAGUGCUAUGACAUUCAUAAUGUUCAAGCACAAAACCAUCCUCCACAGCAUCAUACAGGUCCAUGCAAACAAGAGAAGACCUACAGAGGGCCAACUCCAACUAUUCCUAAUCUAAGCUCUCCAGACCCAAGAGAGUUUUCCAGAUUAAGGAUUGCCCUGGAGAAUAUUUUACCAGAAGAUGCUACAGAGCGCUUCAAGUUUCAGAUAUUGGCAGACCACUUAAAGCUUGAAGAAGCUCUACUUGUCGCUGAUUCUUACAGCAACUCUCCAUAUCCUUUUAGCAACACCAUGAGUGCUCUCAACAAAAUGUAUGGUCAGCCCCAUCAGUUGGCCUUGCAACACAUUGCAGAAGUUAUGGAUGGCCCAGAUAUUGGCAGUGGAGAUGUGAAGUCUUUCCGCAUGUUUGCUCUUCGAGUUCGCUCCCUCGUGAGCAUGUUGGAGCAGUUGGGGAGAAAGGGUAAUGUCGAAUUGGAAUGUGGAUCCCACGUCACAAGAUUACAGAGCAAACUCCCACAUGACCUCAGAUCUGGAUUUAAGCGAUACAUCCACCCAUUGGGAGUGUCUGUACCUACUUUACUUGAUCUGGCUGAAUGGCUGGAAUAUGAGCUGCAAGUCCAAGAGGAUAGCAUCAAAUUCUCUUCCCAUACUCACAGAGAUUCUUCCAGUAGGCGGAGAGAGGUCCGCAAAGACAUCAAGCAAACCAGUAAACUUACCAGUAUCCUCCUCAACACAGAGAGGUCUUCAGCAAGUAAGACCACAGCAUUUGAGAUACAAGAUAAAAGUGCAGAUCAGAAAGUAAAACCUUAUUGUCCCUACUGUGACAACAGCAAUCACUUUCUAAAUAGUUGUGCCAAUUUUAAGCAGCUGACCAGAGACCAGAAGGAGAAUUGGAUCAGAACCAAUAACGGAUGCUGGCGUUGUGGCCGUGGUCAUCAAGCUGCUAAAUGCACAUUGAAAGCACCCUGCAAGAUGUGUAAUAGGAGACAUUUGGCAGUCCUACAUGAUGUGAAUGAGAGAGCAGAGGCAAAGGCUAAUCCAGUAGAGAACUCUUGUCUGGUAAGCACAGCCAGUGAGGUCCUGUACGUUGAUCGCCCAACAUACAACCGAAAGGUACUACUGAAAGUCAGCAAAGUGGUUCUUAGCAAUGGAGAUAGGUCCAUGGAAGCAUAUGCGGUGCUAGAUGAUGGAUCAGAGCGGACUAUUAUUCUCCACACUGCGGCUAAGAAGUUGGGCCUAAAAGGACAACCUGAAGACUUAGUCCUCCGCACAGUCCGGCAGGACCUGCAGGUUCUCCAUGGGGCAGCUGUAUCAUUCAUGAUAUCUCCUGUAGCUGAGCCCAAGAGAAAAUUCAAGAUACAGAGUGCAUUCACCGCUGAGCCUUUGGGACUAGCAGAGCAUUCUCAUCCAGUUGCUCUUCUACAAAGAAGGUAUAGACAUCUUCUGGGCUUGCCAUUACAACAGCUAGACAAAGUCUCCCCAGUGCUGCUGAUUGGUUCUGACUGUCCACAUCUCAUCACUCCUAUAGAGCCUGUAAGACUAGGGCCCCCUGGUGGCCCUGCAGCAGUGAAAACGAGACUGGGUUGGACUCUCCAAGGGCCAGCACGAGAGCUCAGAGAUAAUCUUACCCCACAGCAGUGUCUGUUUACAUCCAUGUCACCCUGUGCUGAUUUGCAUACCCAUGUGGAGAAACUGUGGCAAAUGGAUGUGUUUCCAUACCGUAGUGAGAAGGCUGUUACCAGGUCAAAGCAAGAUCAUGAAGCUGUCCAACUUCUGCAGGAGAAGACAGUUCGAGUUGAAGUGAAUGGCAUUAAAAGAUAUGCUACCCCUCUCCUUCGUACCAGAAAUAUGGCACACCUACGUGCAUCCGAAGAUGCAACCUUGCCACAGCUUAGAAGUAUUGAGAGGAAGUUGGCCAAGGAUUCCAAUCAAGCUGCUGCUUAUCAAGCCGAGAUUGACAAACUGGAACAGUCUGGCUAUAUUGUGAAACUAUGUCCAAAACAGGUGGAACAAUCAGAUGAAGCAUGGUAUGUACCACACCACAUGGUACAACACAAUGGGAAGAACCGAGUGGUAUUUAACUGCUCAUUUCAGUACAAGGGUCAUAAUUUGAAUCAGAUGCUGCUGCCAGGUCCCACUCUCAGUCCACCACUAUUAGCAGUCCUCCUUCGCUUUCGAGAGCACACUAUUGCCAUCAGUAGUGACAUCCGGAGUAUGUUCCAUCAAGUGUGCUUACUCCCCCAGGAUAGAGCUCUUGUCAGAUUCUUGUGGCGAGACCUGAAGCGAGAAAACCCUCCCAGUGUUUACGAAUGGAGAGUCCUUCCAUUCGGGACUACCUGCAGCCCUUGCUGUGCUGUAUUUGCUUUGCAAAAGCAUGCGGCAGAAUGCAGUCAAGCAGGAGAAGCUGUCCAGCAUUCAGUGGAAAAGUCAUUUUAUGUAGAUAAUUGUCUCCAGAGUUUCAGCUCCACUGAAAGUGCUAGAGACAUGGUGGACAAACUUCUCAUUACCCUCAGGGUAGGAGGAUUUGAGUUACGACAGUGGGCCAGCAAUGAGCCCUCUGUAAUCAGACAUCUCCCUCCAGAAAUCAGGUCUGAAAGUAGUGAACUAUGGCUCAGCGAAGGUCAUCAAGACAUACCAGAAUCCACCCUUGGCUUGCACUGGAAUUGCCAAUCUGAUACCUUGUCAUACAAGCACCGCAGGGUAGACAGCUCAGUAGUCACUAUGCGCACCAUCUACAAGAUUUUGGCUUCUCAAUAUGACCCUCUCGGUUAUAUUGUCCCCUAUACCACCAGAGCAAAGCUGUUGGUCCAACGUCUAUGGGAUAAAAAGAGAGGGUGGGAUGACCCACAGUUACCAGAAGAGUUGCUCACCGCUUGGCGCAGAUGGGAAGCUGAACUUGAUGAUCUGCAGAGUAUUCACAUACCCAGAUGUUAUACAAGCCCAGAAAUGGAUCACCCUAGCAGUGUGAGGGAGAUACACGUGUUCUGCGAUGCUUCUGAACAAGCCUAUGGUUCUGUUGCUUAUUUGCGAACUGAGAACCAUGGUAAAGUAGAGGUAGCUUUCCUGACGGCAAGGUCUCGUGUUGCUCCCAAGAAACAGCAGUCGAUACCCCGUUUAGAGUUAUGUGCUGCACUUACAGGUGCCCAGAUGUCAAAGGUCCUCAAAACUGAACUAACUCUUACUAUUCAACAUGUUGUACUAUGGACUGAUUCGACCACAGUACUUACAUGGUUAAAUUCAGACUCCUGUCACUACAAAGUUUUUGUGGGGACCAGAGUGGCGGAGAUACAAGACCUGACAGAGGCAGACACAUGGAGGUAUGUCCGGUCCUGUGACAACCCAGCAGAUGAUGUAACUCGGGGAAAAACUCUUCACGAGCUAGCUGACAACAGUCGUUGGAUCCAUGGGCCUCCAUUUCUCAGACAGUCACCAGAACACUGGCCAGAGCCACCGUCCCUUACUACUAAUGAGCAAGAUAGUGAGCUGAGGACAUCUACUUUCUGUGGUAUAACCACAACUACUUACCUCUUGCAAGACCCUGCACAGUACCAGACCUUUCAGAAGUUAAUUCAAGCAACUGCCUUGCUGCAUCAUGGUACUCAAGAUAUAUCCUCCCUCUCAGCAGAAGAUUAUACGAAUGCUGAAAUUGCAGCCCUACGUCAGGUGCAAUUGGAAUCAUUCCCCACCGAAGUAGCUCAUCUGAAGGCAGGCAAGCCAGUGUCAGCCACUAGUCGACUGUUAGCACUUGCCCCAGAAUUUGAUCACACAAGCCAGUUAAUCAGAGUGGGUGGUCGUCUCCGCCGUGGUACUCUGCUCGAGCCAGAAAUGGUCCACCCAAUUCUUCUCGAUCCCCAUCAUCCAAUCACUAAGCUUCUCAUCAAAGAUUAUGAUGACCAGUUGCAUCAUCCUGGAUCAGAGAGGCUGUUUUCCGAGGUCAGGAGAAAGUUUUGGAUACUAAGAGGGCGUGAAGCCAUUCGUCAACACCAACGAAACUGUGCCGAAUGUAGGAAAUGGCGAGCCCGUCCAAACCCACCAAGGAUGGCUGACCUUCCUCCAGCUCGAUUGCGCAUCCUGAAACCAGCAUUCUACUCUACUGGUGUUGACUGUUUUGGUCCCUACAUGAUCAAGAUUGGGCGCCGCAGUGAGAAAAGAUGGGGGAUACUGUUCAAGUGUCUGACCACUAGGGCAGUCCACAUUGAUAUCCUCACCAGUAUAGACAUGGAUGCCUUUUUGAUGGCUCUCAGGAGAUUCAUUGCAAGGCGUGGAAAACCUUUUGAGGUUUUGUGUGAUCAGGGCACGAACUUUAAAGGAGGGGAGAGAGAGCUCAAAGAGGCAUUCAAUGCCCUCCAUUCAGAUCUUCAAGCUCAACUUGCAGGCCACCAAAUCAAAUUUGCUUUCAAUCCUCCAGGUGCACCUCAUUUUGGAGGUUGCUGGGAAAGGGAAAUUCGGUCAGUUAAAUCUGCUCUUCAAGUUACACUAGGGGCCCAAGCAGUCACAGAAGAAGUACUGAGGACACUUCUCAUAGAGGUUGAAGGGAUCCUCAAUUCCAAACCUCUUGGCUACACAUCUUCGGAUCUGGCAGACCCUGACCCAGUUACCCCAAACAUCCUCCUUAUGGGGCGGCGAGAUGCUUCUUUACCACAAGUAGUCUACCAGAACUCAGAAAUGUUAGGUCGUCGGAGAUGGAGGCAUAGCCAACUCUUGGCUGACCAUUUUUGGAAACAUUUCAUCCAGUAUUAUUUACCCAGCCUGCAAGCACGCCAAAAAUGGAAGACAGAGAAACAAGAUCUUCAACUUGAGGAUACAGUUAUGAUCAUUGACCCACAGCUGCCUCGUGCAUUAUGGCCAGUAGGGAGGGUUACCCAGGUAUUUCCUGGUGCUGACAAAAGGAUCAGGUCGGCAGACGUACAAGUUAAGGACAGAACCUAUACUCGGCCUGUAGCCAGACUUGUUAGUCUUCCCGCUCUGCCUGAUGACGAUUAGUAUAUUCCAUUCAGCACUUGCAGUUGGCCUUUUGAUGUACAAAUUCCACAUGUGAAUUUGGGGGCGGCUGUGCAAAAGGCAGAGCACCUAGGAGCAGCCCCUCCCUUCAUGAUUCUGUAAUGACUCCACCAAUCAGAUGGCUCAUUACCUCUCACCCAAUCAGAAGGCAGAAGUAAUCAGUCCUGCAGCUGCAAUUAUCAGUGCCUCAGUAGCUGAGAGAGAUGGAGAGAGUUCAGCUUCAUAGUUUAAGUUUAAAGUUGAUUGUUCAGGUUGUUAAAUUAUAAGCUGCUCAGUUCAUUUGGUGUGCGUACGUUUAAAAACCACACAUGCAUAUAAGUCAAUAAACUACUGAGCAGAUUUCCAGUUUCCGUUGCUGAUUCACAUCCUCGGGGACAUCCUAACCAAGUUCUUAUCCGACUUCCUGUAGUGGUUCAAUUAACCUGAACCAGACUUAGAUGCUAGUAUACCAAUAUGUGUCCUUU
Molecule: RNA transcript, 6859 nt
Organism: Astyanax mexicanus (Mexican tetra)
Lineage: Eukaryota; Metazoa; Chordata; Actinopteri; Characiformes; Acestrorhamphidae
Exons: 2
Source: RefSeq, a predicted model, not a curated record